UAGGGAAUCUUCCACAAUGGACGCAAGUCUGAUGGAGCAACGCCGCGUGAGUGAAGAAGGUUUCGGAUCGUAAAGCUCUGUUGUUGGUGAAGAAGGAUAGAGGCAGUAACUGGUCUUUAUUUGACGGUAAUCAACCAGAAAGUCACGGCUAACUACGUGCCAC
This 163-nucleotide ribosomal RNA is filed under the name uncultured bacterium. RNAcentral's name for it is "partial 16S rRNA". It matches the Rfam family "Bacterial small subunit ribosomal RNA", at positions 355 to 511 of the family's 1533-position model. The record is from RNAcentral.